Molecule: long non-coding RNA, 417 nt
Organism: Sebastes umbrosus (honeycomb rockfish)
Lineage: Eukaryota; Metazoa; Chordata; Actinopteri; Perciformes; Sebastidae
Exons: 2
Source: RefSeq, a predicted model, not a curated record
GCCCUCUGCCUCAUCCUAGCCAGCAGGCCCUCUCUCUCUCUCUGUCUGUGUGUGUGUGUGUGCGUGUGUGUGUGUGUGUGUGCUGGGCUUGAUUGCAGGAGUGGACUCAGGUGUGCAGGGGUUGUGCUGCAGCUGCAAACCAUCAUCAAUCUACUCUUCUACAAAUACUGGUCUUCAAUUUCACCACGCUGCCAGAUCAUAGACUCUGUUCCCACACAGCACUCGGCCCAAUUCCUGCCUCCAUUCCACUCCUGCCUAGCACACCUCUCUGGAUCUCUGGACACAGCUCUGGAUCUCGGGACUCAGCACACAGUCUCCUUCCCCCCUCCUCUGCCAGCAAACUCACCUGCCUUGCUCUACCCAGUUCUCGCCAUCACAAAAUUAAGUAUUGUAAAUAAAUUAUUUCUUUGCAUCCAU